This 465-nucleotide ribosomal RNA is filed under the name uncultured bacterium. Its description in RNAcentral is "partial 16S ribosomal RNA". It matches the Rfam family "Bacterial small subunit ribosomal RNA", at positions 339 to 795 of the family's 1533-position model. The record is from RNAcentral.
CUACGGGUUGCAGCAGUGGGGAAUAUUGGACAAUGGGGGAAACCCUGAUCCAGCAAUGCCGCGUGUGUGAAGAAGGCCUGUGGGUUGUAAAGCACUUUCGGUUGGGAGGACUGCUUCUAGCACUAAUAUUGUUGGAAGUUGACGUUACCUUCAGAAGAAGCACCGGCUAACUCCGUGCCAGCAGCCGCGGUAAUACGGAGGGUGCAGGCGUUAAUCGGAAUUACUGGGCGUAAAGCGCGCGUAGGCGGCUAGAUCAGUCGGGUGUGAAAGCCCCGGGCUUAACCUGGGAACUGCAUCCGAUACUGUCUAGCUUGAGUACAGGAGAGGAGAGUGGAAUUCCACAUGUAGCGGUGAAAUGCGUAGAUAUGUGGAGGAACACCAAUGGCGAAGGCAGCUCUCUGGCCUGAUACUGACGCUGAGGUGCGAAAGCGUGGGGAGCAAACAGGAUUAGAUACCCUAGUAGUC